GUGGGUGGGGGGCAGGCCUCUGCGUAAGUCUGUGUGGGAAGGGAAAUUUGCCCGUCUCCUUUUUUCCAAGGGAAAAAAGCCCCUGAAGCUGACUUCUGCGCCCCUGAGAACCGAGACUCUCCGGGAGAACCAUUUAGCGUCCAUCCGUACAUCCCGCGUGUGGACAGAGUUCCGCCUGCGGGAGGAACUGGGGCCUCCUGGCCUUUUUUUAGGGCUGUGGGAUGUGGAGGUCGCAUGCCUGUUUUAAACUUCAUAUCACGUGCUUCAGAUUCUAAUUUGGCUGCUUUUCUAUCCUGUGCGGGCAGCUCAGACCGGAGGAGGCUAGGAAAGCCCUCGAGACUGGGAGGAAACGGAACCCUGUUGCCGAGGCACCCUCCAAGCCUCCGGCCCUUUGCGGGGCGAGCCUGGCUGCGGGCUACAAGUCCCAAAUCCGGCCGUACGGGCCCACAGUAAGUCGGAAACAAGUGCUCGCAGGUCCCCGCUUUGCUUUGGGUUUCAUUGUUUCUUAGUGCAAAUCAAUUCACUUAGGACUCCCCGCUGAUCUGAGAGUUUAAAAAGGGCGCUUCUGUGCUGACGGGCUGGAGGGAAAGUGGUUUCCCUAGAGGUUGGGGUCAAGGGUAGGAGAGAAGAGGUAGACUUGGCCUGGAGUCAUCAUGCCGUCUGUGGAGUCGCACAGAGUCGGACACGACUGAGGUGACUUAGCAGCAGCAGCAGCAUGACCCGGCUUUAAAAACGGGUUCCUCAUUUUACACACCGGUCGCAAGAUCAAAGAGCGGCGGAGCGGAGUGCCACUGCUAGCCUUGGAAUGAGGCUAUGUUUAACCUCCGCCCUCAACAGUGGCCAGUGGGCAACCCGGGGCCUUGAGGCCUCCCUGGGGCACGCGACCAUUGCAGGGAACGUCCAAGUUGAGACCCGUUGGAGGCUCGUGACGGCUUCCGCUGAACCUGGGCCGCUCCCACAUCACGAUCGGGAAUUUCUCCAGCUUAACUAUAGACGGAAACGCCAUUUGGGAACUACGACUUGGCGGGCCCUGGCGACCCGCCUCGGCUCCCAGGAGCCCAGGCUUGCCCGAAGUAGUCCAGGACUCUCUUUAAACCGAGCCGCCUCACAGGCAUGGGGUUCUAUCAGCAUAGCCCGAGGGCCGGAAAACUGGACGUGAACCAAAAAAGCCUGGAGAACCACACAGACCACAGAGGAUCUGGGAGGAUCAGACGCGGCCAACGGGCCUUCUCCGCCUCCUUCCCACCAGGGGCUGCCCAGGUAGCAGCAGUGGUGAAGAA
Molecule: long non-coding RNA, 1280 nt
Organism: Bos taurus (domestic cattle)
Lineage: Eukaryota; Metazoa; Chordata; Mammalia; Artiodactyla; Bovidae
Source: Ensembl